Molecule: ribosomal RNA, 541 nt
Filed under: Bifidobacterium longum subsp. infantis
Lineage: Bacteria; Bacillati; Actinomycetota; Actinomycetes; Bifidobacteriales; Bifidobacteriaceae
Description: bacterial SSU rRNA
Rfam family: Bacterial small subunit ribosomal RNA
Source: RNAcentral
UCUCCCUGGAAAACGGGUGGUAAUGCCGGAUGCUCCAGUUGAUCGCAUGGUCUUCUGGGAAAGCUUUCGCGGUAUGGGAUGGGGUCGCGUCCUAUCAGCUUGACGGCGGGGUAACGGCCCACCGUGGCUUCGACGGGUAGCCGGCCUGAGAGGGCGACCGGCCACAUUGGGACUGAGAUACGGCCCAGACUCCUACGGGAGGCAGCAGUGGGGAAUAUUGCACAAUGGGCGCAAGCCUGAUGCAGCGACGCCGCGUGAGGGAUGGAGGCCUUCGGGUUGUAAACCUCUUUUAUCGGGGAGCAAGCGAGAGUGAGUUUACCCGUUGAAUAAGCACCGGCUAACUACGUGCCAGCAGCCGCGGUAAUACGUAGGGUGCAAGCGUUAUCCGGAAUUAUUGGGCGUAAAGGGCUCGUAGGCGGUUCGUCGCGUCCGGUGUGAAAGUCCAUCGCUUAACGGUGGAUCCGCGCCGGGUACGGGCGGGCUUGAGUGCGGUAGGGGAGACUGGAAUUCCCGGUGUAACGGUGGAAUGUGUAGAUAUCGG